Molecule: long non-coding RNA, 1410 nt
Organism: Pongo pygmaeus (Bornean orangutan)
Lineage: Eukaryota; Metazoa; Chordata; Mammalia; Primates; Hominidae
Exons: 3
Source: RefSeq, a predicted model, not a curated record
AAGGCAGUAAACUGGAGCCAAGUGGGUUAAAUCCUUCUUGCUGCUAUUAAGGGGAGGAGACAGAUUUCUGCAGACUCUACAUUUUGGAGAGAAACAGAAAAGAAUGUCCCCAAGUCUCCUUUGCCCUGCGAUGCUGGGGCGAUUGGCAAGGUCCCAAGAGAAGCACAACGGUAACCGACAACCGACGCUGCCCUCGGCUGAACUGUUAAAUCCUUCGGAUGGAUGCUGGAAUCGACCUUGGUCUCUAGUUCGACUCCCGUGCAACGUGUUGAGGAGGAGCCACCUCCUCCAAGCACCUAAAGCCGGUGUCCAACCAUACGUGCCCAACACGGCCCUGCUGUGGAUCACCGCGCUCCAAGCCUGAGAAGCCAUCGGGACGACAGGAUGAACCGCUGGCUGGGCGCGGCGUCCCCACCAGGCUACGCAAGAGCUCCAUGCGGUGACGACGCGCGGGGACCAGGAGCCUGCGGUGCCCUGUAACCCCGAGAAGAAGUGCUCGGCGAGCGCAGAGCCCGGUGGAGCAUAGCUGGGAGGAAUGGGGAUGGACGAGGGCGGAGGGAAGAACAAACACUCAAACUAUGCUGGGAUUCGAGCACGGGCUUCUCGCUCAAAAAGAGCCCGACCACAGAGGAACCCUCAAUCUUAUGAUCUGACGUCAGACGCCUCAUCCCUUAGGCCACGCGGUCACAAUGCCCAGGGAGGCUCAGAGACUAGUCCAGGUGCUGCUCCGCUCGGGGGUGACCAGGCGGGCGGCUGGGGCCAGAGGAAGGGUGAGCGCUUCGCUCAAUAGGUGGCCAGGGUGCGAGCAGCGAAGCUGCGCCACGCCGGAGCGUUUAAUGGCCAUCAAAUUGGUCUCUCCAGGAAAGGAUUACAGCAGGAGACCGCGUGGCCUAAUGGAUAAGGCGUCUGACUUCGGAUCAGAAGAUUGAGGGUUCGAGUCCCUUCGUGGUCGGAACGUUUUAAUCCCUGCAACUAUAAUCUCCGUCUCUUUACUGGUUUUAGACCCAGAAACGCCUCCCAAUCCCUCCACGCCGCGGCUCCCGGGAUCCGAAGCUGGGUAGCUGCUUCUGUCCAAUCAGGGCUUCGCAUCCCGGGACGCUUCCGGUUAUGGCGUCAUUACGCAGCCUGUGGCGUCUCAGUUUAAGAGACAUGAUCGGGCGCUUUCUGCGGGAACCCCCCAGUUGCCUAAUGGAUAAGGCAUUGGCCUCCUUAAGGCUUGGACUUUGGGUUUCAGUCAUAUUUGCGGUGGCGUGGCCUAGCUGCUGGGAGCCGUAUUUUUGAGAUCCAUUUUAAUAAAAGUAAUUUUUUAAAAAAAUGUAUAACGUAAACAAAAACCAACUGGCACAUUUUGUCUUUUUAAUAACAUUUCCCUUUAUUUUGUGCUUGUGUCUAUUUCAAUUAAUUUUCCUU